RNAcentral lists this unclassified non-coding RNA (323 nucleotides) under soil metagenome. Its description in RNAcentral is "partial contains 5.8S ribosomal RNA, internal transcribed spacer 2, and large subunit ribosomal RNA". The stretch from base 1 to 120 matches the Rfam family "5.8S ribosomal RNA", at positions 35 to 154 of the family's 154-position model. The record is from RNAcentral.
GAUGAAGAACGUAGCGAAAUGCGACAAGUAAUGUGAAUUGCAGAAUUCCGUGAAUCAUCGAAUCUUUGAACGCACAUUGCGCCCUGUGGUAUUCCGCAGGGCAUGCCUGUUCGAGCGUCAUUUCAACCCUCAAGCUCUGCUUGGUGUUGGGCCCUGCCCGCUGCGGCCGGCCCUAAAGACAGUGGCGGUGCCGCCUGGCCCUGAGCGUAGUACAUCUCUCGCUCCAGUGCCCGGUGGUAGCCUGCCAGAACCCCAACUCUCGUGGUUGACCUCGGAUCAGGUAGGGAUACCCGCUGAACUUAAGCAUAUCAAUAAGCGGAGGA